AACUCAAGCACCUUCGGCGGCCGAAUCUCUACUUUUGGCUGCCGAACCCUUUCGGGGGCAAGGUUCGGGGGCUGAAACACACUCCAGAGACGAAAGUCUCUAACCUUCGGCGGCACCUUCGGCGGCCGAAUCCCCCUUCCAGAGCCAAAACUCAAAACUCUCGGGGGUGAGCUUUGGCAACCGAAGCCACCUCUUCAAGGGGUUCAGCGGCCGAAUGUACCUUCGACUGCCGAACCUGAGUUCAUCCAGAACUCAUCCUCGCCAGCAACCAAGCUCCUCAAGCCAGUCCAACUCUCAAAACAUGCAUAGCACAACUCCUCAACACACAUAUACUCAUGUAUAUGUACAAAAGGGGUCCAAAACUACCUAAAACCCCAACAAAACAACAUAGCAUAACACAUAAACAUGCUUUCAAUACCAAAACACCAAAAUCAUGCUUUUUACCCUAAACAUGCAACUCUACCCAUAACCUCCAUAAACCCUCUAUAAAUCAGCAAGAGAAGUUCAGAAUCUUCACUUACCUCUGGACAAUAAGAAGCUGAACGAUCUGAACUCAGAAAUCUAGAGCAACUCCCCUUCAAAAUUGCCAAACCACCAAACCUUAGCUUUUGAACUCAAAACCUUCAAAACCACAUAAAAACACUCAAACCUUUGCAUGAUUUGAUAAAACCAUGAAAAUGACUCAUGGAGAACGUGGCCUCACCUCUGUUUAUGACCUGGAGGCAACACUUAUCCAUUUCACCGACUGAGGGAUGCUUUAAAGGGGCUGACCGACUCACCUUCGGCAGCCAAAUCUGCAUGCAAAACCAUGCAACGUUCAGCGGCCGAACUUGAGCCCUCGGAAGCCGAACCUAAAGCACUUUCGGCGGCCGAACCUGGCAAUUGUCCCCAUAGUAUUUUCUCUUCAAAACUCGAUCCUAUCUCAUUCAAAAUCUUUAAAAUACUUAAAAACAUUUUAGAAAAACUUUCUCUUACCUUCCUCGAAUUCCACCGGAUGGUAAGAAUUCUGAUGCCUAAUCUAGCCGGGUAUUACAUUCUUUCCCCCUUUAAAAAACAUUCGUCCUCGAAUGUUAAAAACAAACAAAUAAGCAAUCAAGACCUCAACCUACUCCUGAACUCCACAGCUUCCGCUGCGCACUCUGAUCCUUAUCCUUUUUCUCUUCAUCUUUUCUCCACUGAUCUCUCUUCCCCUAACUCGUAACAGGUGCUACUCAAAUCUUUGAUCUAUCUAGGAAAACCACAAUCAGCUCUUACUAUAUGUUCUACUAGAUCAAUCCUAACUAGGAAUACCUGGUAACCGCUUAAAGUGACUACAACAUCUUAAGAAGUCAUCCUUCGGUUCCCACAACAACUCUGGAAUAUUCCAGAGUGAGGUACUAGGUCGGAUAAAACCCUUAUCUACCAAACCUUUUUACUACUCUUAACUCUCUCUCUCUCUCUCUCUCUCUCUGUAGGUGCCAUCCCGUAGGGAAAGGAAAGAAAUGGUUCCGCGUUCAGAUACCACUCCUAGUCCAAAUUCUGACUCCCUGACAGAUGGUAAACCUGACAGCUUGCCUGGGAAACAUCUAGUACUCACUAGCAACGGGCACUGAGGCUGAUUCCCUGAUCUGACUACUAAACUCGCUCACAAGAGCUAGAACCCUCUGACAACCUUUCCCUGAGUAAACGAUGAGCCUAACGGGUUGACAUUAACUUCUAGGCACCCCUAUACUGUCCCCCUAAAGGAUUCCCUCUGAUCCAUCCUGCACUCUGAACUCUCCUACCUUGUCUCUGCAGACAUAGGUAGUACUGUGAGUAGCUAGCCAAUCCGCUCUAGAUUGACAUCACCAGUCAAUUCUAGAACCAUAAGGUCAGCUGGAUUGCAUCUACUCACCACAACUCUGAACUAAACUGACAGACUGACUCUGCCUCAGAUGGAUCACACUUAGGUCCACUGACCCAAGGAAAACACUCUCCGCCCGGACGUCAUCAAACCCACUCUAUCAACGGCUCACAAAUGCCAAGGAAAGCGAAACACUAGGGUCCAAAACAAAUAGCAUACACAUCCGAACACUUCCAAGUGAACGUAUCUGACGUCACUGUGUUUGACGUGUUAGCCUCCUAUUGACUCAGGGUGAAGAUCCGAGCUAAAGCUAACGGAACUUCCCUUGGGAAUCUACUGGAGAAAAGCUAACCCUUUCCUCUGCCUCAACUACCACCUACUCCCAGACUGGCUCUAACCUCUUUCUAAACUUACUCUUACUUCUUCUCUUCCUCUUACUCUAAGCUAUCUCACUUACUCUUCUUAUUCUAUUUUACUUUCUCUAUAUACUAUGAGAUGAGAAAAUCAAUCUCACUAUACCUGGAAUGAUAAAAAUCAAGGCCACAAUAUCUCAUAGCAAGUUUCUCUCUAGCUCUUCUUUGGUUCACUACUCUCUAGCUACUAACUCUUCUCUGAAUUUCUAUCUCUUACUUGCUACUCUGCACAUCUAACUCUGAUAUUCUCUACUAGUCUCAUAUCAACAGACAUCCUACUAGGAUCCACAAAACAUACACAUCAGAACACUAAAAAACAUGAGCAUACCUGGCACCUCUGUGUCAGAUGUGUCUGCCUCUCUUUCUUGUCUACUGACCUGAGCCGCUCUGCCUACAAAAGUCUGCUGGGACUGAGCCAUCCAAGGCGCAGUAGGACACUCACGAACCAUGUGCCCCUCCUGACCACACCUGAAACAUGCUGUUGUCCCUGCAAGACAGACUCCCUUAUGCAGCCUUCCACACCUCAAACAUUUUGAUCUGCCUAUACCAGAACUCGAACCAGCACUACAAUCCAGACUAGGUUUUACCCUAUUCCAGAACUCCCUUUUCCUUGCCCCUUUCAGGCCUCUAACGUUUUUCUUACUGGUUCUCCCCCACUUCACUCCUUUCGAGGUAGCUAUACUCCAACUGGAAGGAUCAUUCUCUCCUGAACCAGAAAUCCUGGACUCCUUGGUCUGAGCAUCUUCUAAAGACGCUUCGUCCUUAUUCACCUGCAGACCUACUUCCCUUUUCUGCACAUCGACUUCUACCUCUCUCCUCUUUCCUGACAUUCUCCUUAGAUCCCCUCCUUCUCUGCUUUUCUCAAAAGAUUCUUCAGACGGAUCUGAUUCCACAGAUUGACUAACACUACUCAUCUUAGCUCUUCUCUCUCUGAAGAACAACACACAACAAACAAACAUUAGCAGGCAGAGAGUUCAUGUGAAAAACACAUGCACUUACACCACACAUAUAAAGUCAUGGCAUUCACAUCAGCAUGCAAAACAAAACUCAACAUCCUAGUGGACAUGAUUUUACUUUUUGUGCUUGCCUUUCUAUACCCCCUACCCUAACCUCUUUCCGAUGUGGGAUCUCUCUUCUCCGUGAACAAACAUGCUCACACACCGUACUUUUGAGGCCCUAUGCUCUGAUACCAUCUGUAACAGCCCAGAAACCGGUACCUCUCUGUAACGGCCCAAACUGCUCGGCGCUAGGAUCUAGAUCGGCUUAAGGCCGCCAGAACCCGUAGCAAGCCUAACCUAAACUCCAAACAGCCCAUACAUGAUCCGACUCGACUACUAGCUUUUCAAUCUUUUUCUGUAAAACUACCAGACUUAACCUUAAAAACAAUCAGAUAUACCAAUCUGAAUAGCCCCCAGGGCUUACACCAGUAACUCUGUCCGUAGAGUCACGGGAAUCAAACCCGGUCUUCCCUUACGGUCUGAUCUUGGGUCAAGGGAAUCAAACCCUGCCUUCCCUCAUAGCCUGGUCUUGGGUCAAGGGAAUCAAACCCUUUCUUCCCUCACAGUUAUAUUUUACUGGAGUUUUCGAAACACAACAUCUAUUAAGCCUGGUUUGACUCAUUUCUCAUCAAGAAACAUAAAACAGGAUACAUGCAUACACAAGGGCUUAAGCAUACACUAGGCAAAGCACAUACUAAACUAUAGACACACUGUCUUUACAUAUAUCUCUUUAAUUUACAUCAUGUCCACACUAUUCUAUUACACAAGCAAUCCUUUAGUCAACACUCUACUGCUUCUGACUUCCCAGCUAACUCUGAACCUGCAAAACUGGGAUUAAGGGAAAGGGAUGAGCUUCUAAAGCCCAGUGAGUAGAAACACUGAAAACAGUUCAUUAAUUACACACUUUCAUGAAAUGCGUCACAACACAAACAUUUCACAUCUCGGAUUAGACAUGACCUCAAAACUCCCUCUGUCGGCACCCGAUUCCCGAAGGAACUCACACAGGAUUUUCACUACCAUGACAGAUCGUGGGCUAUUGAUGUCGCCUUGGUCCAAUCCCCACUAUCAGUAAAUAAUGCAAUGCACCAUAUUCGUGAUUCUAAUGGAAUCACCCUAGUACAUAACAUGGCAUCCAUGAUGCAUGAACUAUGCUAAAGCAUUCCAUUUUCUCAGUAUAAAAGAUUACGUUUAGUUCUACUCACCUCUGCUCCUCUAGCAGAAAACUGAACUGACUCUGCAACACCUAACACUGGUGACCUCCUCGAUCUCUCGGGUCCAAUCCUACACAAAUGGACUCGAAUGAGGUGUCAAACAUACCCUAAACAACUCAUAAACAACUCUUAAACAACUUCCCAAAACCCCUCAAAGAGCUCUUAGAACCAUCACAUAAAGCAUGCAAAAGAAGGCUGGACAGAACACUUUCGGCGGGAGGUUCGGCGGCCGAAUGUCCUCUCCAGAGCCGAAACUCAAGCACCUUCGGCGGCCGAAUCUCUACUUCCGGUUGCCGAACCCUUUCGGGGGCAAGGUUCGGGGGCUGAAACACACUCCAGAGACGAAAGUCUCUAACCUUCGGCGGCCGAAUCCCCCUUCCAGAGCCAAAACUCAAAACUCUCGGGGGUGAGCUUUGGCAACCGAAACCACCUCUUCAAGGGGUUCGGCGGCCGAAUGUACCUUCGGCUGCCGAAUCUGAGUUCAU
Molecule: long non-coding RNA, 4929 nt
Filed under: Manihot esculenta (cassava)
Lineage: Eukaryota; Viridiplantae; Streptophyta; Magnoliopsida; Malpighiales; Euphorbiaceae
Description: long non-coding RNA (MESC_LNC012596)
Source: RNAcentral